RNAcentral lists this ribosomal RNA (409 nucleotides) under Actinomycetes bacterium. Its description in RNAcentral is "Actinobacteria bacterium partial 16S ribosomal RNA". It matches the Rfam family "Bacterial small subunit ribosomal RNA", at positions 355 to 776 of the family's 1533-position model. The record is from RNAcentral. Lineage: Bacteria; Bacillati; Actinomycetota; Actinomycetes.
UGGGGAAUAUUGCACAAUGGGCGCAAGCCUGCUGCAGCGACGCCGCGUGAGGGAUGACGGCCUUCGGGUUGUAAACCUCUUUCAGCUCCGACGAAGCGCAAGUGACGGUAGGAGCAGAAGAAGCACCGGCCAACUACGUGCCAGCAGCCGCGGUAAUACGUAGGGUGCAAGCGUUGUCCGGAAUUACUGGGCGUAAAGAGCUCGUAGGCGGUUUGUCGCGUCGUCUGUGAAAUUCUGCAGCUUAACUGCAGGCGUGCAGGCGAUACGGGCAGACUUGAGUACUACAGGGGAGACUGGAAUUCCUGGUGUAGCGGUGAAAUGCGCAGAUAUCAGGAGGAACACCGGUGGCGAAGGCGGGUCUCUGGGUAGUAACUGACGCUGAGGAGCGAAAGCGUGGGUAGCGAACAGG